AGGAAAUAAGAAAGCCGUAGAUAAACGCUGCGGUUUUAAAGAAAAUCCACAAUUAAAAUAAAGUGUACCAUACUUUUCUUAAAACGCCAAAAAUUGAUCAAUUGGCUGAACUUAAGAAGCAUCAUAACCAAGUAAAUUCACAACUGAAAAAAGCGAAAGAACAAUGCCAUAGUAAAUAUUCUCGCGUAUUUAUACAAAUCCAAGGAAAAUUUGAUAGGAUGUAAUAAAUCUGACUGGAAAGAACGACAACUUGAAAAGCCUCCGUACCUCCUCGUUAAAUGACACCCUUGCUGAAGUUGACGCACCCCCUUAUGAAAAUGACUGUUGAAAUGUUGUUGGCAUACUGUUCAUGAAUUGUUGACUUAAUAGCCUUUCAACAAUACCUCAAUAAUUAUUGAAACCACAGAACCAUAAUUCAACAAUAAAGUUGUUGGGUAGUUCACAACAAAAAAGUCGACUAAAUUCUGUUGAUAUAUUGUUGAAUAGUAUUGACUGUUAUUGAGCCGUUGUUGAGUAGUUUCCAACAAUAAAGUCGUUGACUAAACUCUUUGAUAUAUUUUUGAAUUAUAUUGAGUAUUAUUGA
Molecule: long non-coding RNA, 583 nt
Filed under: Dermacentor andersoni
Lineage: Eukaryota; Metazoa; Arthropoda; Arachnida; Ixodida; Ixodidae
Description: uncharacterized LOC126548440
Source: RNAcentral